Molecule: long non-coding RNA, 696 nt
Filed under: Cyanistes caeruleus (blue tit)
Lineage: Eukaryota; Metazoa; Chordata; Aves; Passeriformes; Paridae
Description: lncRNA (ENSCCEG00000000282.1)
Source: RNAcentral
UGAAGAACCCAUGCCUUCCUGACGAAUUAGACACACACUUCUCUAAUCAGAGGACUAAAAAGCAGGGAGAAGAAUAUGGGAAAACACUGAAAAAUACUGAGAGAUUUCUCGAGGACAAGGGUCUCACACAAAAGAUUAUAUUUUGUGAAAGCAAAUAUGAAAAAAGGUCUAAUGAGGAAGACAGAGGAAUGUAGCAAAAACGAAGGAAGAAAGGCUUCAGAGAGGAAAAGAAUUACCGAAUGCCAGAGGCUGGGAGGGAUCUCUGGAUAUCCAUCCCUGCUCCAUCCACCCUGCUCUAGUUGUGAAUUAUGAGGAAGAGCACUUAGUCCAUCCCAAAAAACUUCCAGCAUGAAGAGUCAGGACCUGAACUCUGACUUGCUUUGGGAUGUCCAGUGGCCUAUGUCUUAGUUGAGGCUUUCCAGCAAUCACAUUAUUUUCCUUAAAAUAUGUCAGAAGUCCAUGAUUAUGUGAGAGUACAGAAGAAAUGCCUAUAAAAAACAAACUGCAAGUGAGACAUGUAGGACCAUGCAAAAUGCUUAUUAUGACUCCAUUGUUAAUCAGUUCGUAAAUCUGAAUUUUGGAGGACAGUUUCUAGUUAAAAAUACAAAAUAGCUAAAUGCUUGUUCUACAGCAACUGUGGCACCUGACACCACUGGUGGACACUGGAUACCACAGGAAGGUUGUAUCAGACUCAUC